RNAcentral lists this non-coding RNA (25 nucleotides) under Cricetulus griseus (Chinese hamster). The record is from RNAcentral. Lineage: Eukaryota; Metazoa; Chordata; Mammalia; Rodentia; Cricetidae.
UGCUUUAUGGAGUUAAGGAACAUUG